GACGAACGCUGGCGGCGUGCCUAAUACAUGCCAGUAGAACGCACAGUUUAUACCGUAGCUUGCUACACCAUACACUGUGAGUUGCGAACGGGUGAGUAACGCGUAGGUAACCUGCCUGGUAGCGGGGGAUAACUAUUGGAAACGAUAGCUAAUACCGCAUAAUAUUAAUUAUUGCAUGAUAAUUGAUUGAAAGAUGCAAUUGCAUCACUACCAGAUGGACCUGCGUUGUAUUAGCUAGUAGGUGAGGUAACGGCUCACCUAGGCGACGAUACAUAGCCGACCUGAGAGGGUGAUCGGCCACACUGGGACUGAGACACGGCCCAGACUCCCACGGGAGGCAGCAGUAGGGAAUCUUCGGCAAUGGACGAAAGUCUGACCGAGCAACGCCGCGUGAGUGAAGAAGGGUUUCGGAUCGUAAAGCUCUGUUGUAAGAGAAGAACGGGUGUGAGAGUGGAAAGUUCACACUGUGACGGUAUCUUACCAGAAAGGGACGGCUAACUACGUG
This 505-nucleotide ribosomal RNA is filed under the name uncultured bacterium. Its description in RNAcentral is "partial 16S ribosomal RNA". It matches the Rfam family "Bacterial small subunit ribosomal RNA", at positions 28 to 507 of the family's 1533-position model. The record is from RNAcentral.